This 231-nucleotide ribosomal RNA is filed under the name uncultured Staphylococcus sp. RNAcentral's name for it is "partial 16S ribosomal RNA". It matches the Rfam family "Bacterial small subunit ribosomal RNA", at positions 109 to 334 of the family's 1533-position model. Lineage: Bacteria; Bacillati; Bacillota; Bacilli; Caryophanales; Staphylococcaceae. The record is from RNAcentral.
AGUAACACGUGGAUAACCUACCUAUAAGACUGGGAUAACUUCGGGAAACCGGAGCUAAUACCGGAUGAUAUUUUGAACCGCAUGGUUCAAAAGUGAAAGACGGUCUUGCUGUCACUUAUAGAUGGAUCCGCGCUGCAUUAGCUAGUUGGUAAGGUAACUGCUUACCAAGGCAACGAUGCAUAGCCGACCUGAGAGGGUGAUCGGCCACACUGUAACUGAGACACGGUCCAG